UGCCAGCAGCCGCGGUAAUACGGAGGGUGCAAGCGUUGUCCGGAUUUAUUGGGUUUAAAGGGUGCGUAGGCGGACAAUUAAGUCAGUGGUGAAAUACUUCGGCUCAACCGGAGAGGUGCCAUUGAUACUGGUUGUCUAGAGUACAGACGAGGUAGGCGGAAUUUAUGGUGUAGCGGUGAAAUGCAUAGAUACCAUAAAGAACACCGAUAGCGAAGGCAGCUUACUAGACUGUAACUGACGCUGAGGCACGAAAGCGUGGGUAGCGAACAGGAUUAGAUA
RNAcentral lists this ribosomal RNA (279 nucleotides) under uncultured bacterium. RNAcentral's name for it is "partial 16S ribosomal RNA". It matches the Rfam family "Bacterial small subunit ribosomal RNA", at positions 506 to 784 of the family's 1533-position model. The record is from RNAcentral.